This 73-nucleotide transfer RNA is filed under the name Candidatus Moraniibacteriota bacterium. RNAcentral's name for it is "tRNA-Thr". It matches the Rfam family "tRNA". From Rfam's summary of the family: Transfer RNA (tRNA) molecules are approximately 80 nucleotides in length. Their secondary structure includes four short double-helical elements and three loops (D, anti-codon, and T loops). Lineage: Bacteria; Candidatus Moraniibacteriota. The record is from RNAcentral.
GCCACCUUAGCUCAGUUGGCAGAGCAAUGCACUCGUAACGCAUAGGUCGCCGGUUCGAUUCCGGCAGGUGGCU